UACGGGGGGAGCAAGCGUUGUUCGGAUUUACUGGGCGUAAAGGGCGCGUAGGCGGCCACCGCAAGUCGACUGUGAAAUCUCCGGGCUCAACCCGGAAAGGUCAGCCGAUACUGCGGGGCUAGAGUGCAGAAGGGGCAACUGGAAUUCUCGGUGUAGCGGUGAAAUGCGUAGAUAUCGAGAGGAACACCUGCGGCGAAGGCGGGUUGCUGGGCUGACACUGACGCUGAGGCGCGAAAGCUAGGGGAGCGAACGGG
RNAcentral lists this ribosomal RNA (254 nucleotides) under uncultured bacterium. Its description in RNAcentral is "partial 16S ribosomal RNA". It matches the Rfam family "Bacterial small subunit ribosomal RNA", at positions 524 to 776 of the family's 1533-position model. The record is from RNAcentral.